GAUGAACGCUGGCGGCGUGCCUAAUACAUGCAAGUCGAGCGAACAGACGAGGAGCUUGCUCCUCUGACGUUAGCGGCGGACGGGUGAGUAACACGUGGAUAACCUACCUAUAAGACUGGGAUAACUUCGGGACACCGGAGCUAAUACCGGAUAAUAUAUUGAACCGCAGGGUUCAAUAGUGAAAGACGGUUUUGCUGUCACUUAUAGAUGGAUCCGCGCCGCAUUAGCUAGUUGGUAAGGUAACGGCUUACAAAGGCAACGAUGCGUAGCCGACCUGAGAGGGUGAUCGGCCACACUGGAACUGAGACACGGGCCAGACUCCUACGGGAGGCAGCAGCAGGGAAUCUUCCGCAAUGGGCGAAAGCCUGACGGAGCAACGCGGCGUGAGUGAUGAAGGUCUUCGGAUCGUAAGACUCUGUUAUUAGGGAAGAACAAAUGUGUAAGUAACUAUGCACGUCUUGACGGUACCUAAUCAGAAAGCCACGGCUAACUACGUG
Molecule: ribosomal RNA, 497 nt
Filed under: uncultured bacterium
Lineage: Bacteria
Description: partial 16S ribosomal RNA
Rfam family: Bacterial small subunit ribosomal RNA
Source: RNAcentral